RNAcentral lists this ribosomal RNA (506 nucleotides) under uncultured bacterium. Its description in RNAcentral is "partial 16S ribosomal RNA". It matches the Rfam family "Bacterial small subunit ribosomal RNA", at positions 29 to 523 of the family's 1533-position model. The record is from RNAcentral.
AUUGAACGCUGGCGGCAGGCCUAACACAUGCAAGUCGGACGGUAGCACAGAGGAGCUUGCUCCUCGGGUGACGAGUGGCGGACGGGUGAGUAAUGUCUGGGGAUCUGCCCGAUAGAGGGGGAUAACCACUGGAAACGGUGGCUAAUACCGCAUAACGUCGCAAGACCAAAGAGGGGGACCUUCGGGCCUCCCACUAUCGGAUGAACCAAGAUGGGAUUAGCUAGUAGGCGGGGUAACGGCCCACCUAGGCGACGAUCCCUAGCUGGUCUGAGAGGAUGACCAGCCACACUGGAACUGAGACACGGUCCAGACUCCUACGGGAGGCAGCAGUGGGGAAUAUUGCACAAUGGGCGCAAGCCUGAUGCAGCCAUGCCGCGUGUAUGAAGAAGGCCUUCGGGUUGUAAAGUACUUUCAGCGGGGAGGAAGGCGAUGUGGUUAAUAACCGCAUUGAUUGACGUUACCCGCAGAAGAAGCACCGGCUAACUCCGUGCCAGCAGCCGCCGUAA